Dermacentor silvarum is the source of this 17944-nucleotide long non-coding RNA. RefSeq lists it as uncharacterized. The record is from RefSeq and is a predicted model, not a curated record. The transcript has 2 exons. NCBI's taxonomy places the organism in Eukaryota, Metazoa, Arthropoda, Arachnida, Ixodida, Ixodidae.
UCGCUGUGCAGACAGCACUGUGUGGGCACCCCCCCCCCCCCCCCCCCUGUUAUCCUUAAUCUUGUUGGAGAGGAGGAGUUGGGGGGUCCUUUUGUCUCGGCCUGGCACUGAGUUAGUGCUUGCUAGCAGUGCAGACUUCCUGCACCUCCUGGCUGAUGGAAAACUAUUUCGACCCCUACUCACAUCUAAGAGGAAGGCGUGACAUCGUGUACUUUCAACAUUGGGGUCAGUAUCUUCAGCAUUUCUUUUUAGGUCGCUUACUUCACCUAUCAGCCGUUCACCUUUUCCCCCAUUAUUUCCUGUACUGUACUUGAGGACCAAAGAAUCUCUUUAUUGCACUACAUUCCAUUUUCAACAGUGGUUGUGUAAAGCUUGUGCGCUGUGCUCGCUAACCGUGUAGUAAGUUGCUGUUAAAAAAGCUUUUUUUCAAUGCUUUGUUGCGGCAGUUGUGCGGAAAGCAAAUAAGGAGCUGCCUGAUAAGAGUGUAUUUAAUGUCCAACCUCACAAGUAGCUUUGGUGUUUUUAGUUGUGUGGGAGGAUUUGGUCUUGGUAAUUAUAAAGCACUCCUUCACCGUGUAGUCCUUAUGUACUGUCUCCUAAAUGAAGUGAAUUGACAGCUUACAUAGAAAGUAGUCUGAUAUUUAAUUACCUCUGUAAUGACGAAAACUUUGUGUAGUUCUUCAGAAAUGUUGCUGCAAAAGGGUGCUCGUGUGAUAGUCCACUUGAGCACGGCAUUGAAACGUGCACAUGCUGGAGGCUAUAUUUGUAAAUAAAUAUGUUUCCUAUUUCAUGGAAGCAUUUUCUUAGCUCUUUGACAGUCGGGUUACGUAAAUUUGUGCUUAAUUGAGAGACACCAACUGUUGUAGUGUAGUUCAUCAUCAGCCUAUAUUUAUGUCCACAGCAGGAUGAAGGCCUCUCCCUGCGAUCUCUAAUUACCCCUGUCUUGCGCUAGCUGAUUAGUGUAGUACUGGUCUGCAAGCAAAACAAAAUAGAGGUAUCGUUUCGUGACGUUGAACCUAAUUUGUCUUGCAUUUGGUUGAGUGGAACCCUGCAAGGGGCUCUAGCCAUCAUACAUAGCAGCUGGAUGAUCUUGACUUUAUGCAAGUUUCUUUAUACGAGUUUGCAGCUGCAGCUGUAUUGAGUUCAUUUGUGGGCACCUACUUCUAAGCACAUGUGCACAUAAGUGUGAACAGCUGAUGCCUACAUGGCUCCUUGCAGGUCAAAUUGAAAACACUUCCAGAUGGCACUGGGACGUUGCCUACACAGUUCUGCUUCCUGUAUCAGUCUAUUGUGUUAAAGUUUCAGCCUUAAUUCCAGUGUGUCGUGUUUGGCAUGUACUGCGCACAGCACAAUGAAGAGUAGAAUCCUCUUUAUUGUUAGAUGGGCAUUGCUUCACUUUGUCGCAGAUAGUGCACUGUAGGUAGUGCUCAGUGUAUUUUCAUUUUUAAAUGAUUUUGUAGUGUGCUCGAAUGUCACACUACGAAGCUAAUAAAGAGCAGUACCAGAAGGGGUCAGGAUGCCACUGAAGACUGUGCGACUUACGUGCCCAGGCAACUACUACCAUUGCUCACAAGCAUUGACUCUUAAACCAAGCAGCAAUUCAAAAAUAUUGCUGUCGUCGUCUCGCAGUGCAUCAAUUGUGCGCUUUAGGUAAGUGUGUGAUGCACCAUACAUCAGCACUAGCAAACACCUCCACAACACCCUUUUUUUUUUUUUGUUAAUUCAUCGGAGCUGAACUGCCAGAAUCCGCCACAAUGGUAGCAUUGAAUAAAAGGAGGGUGCACUCUGUUUUAUACAUAGUAGGCAGCGCUCAAAGGCUUCUCUCAUCCAGGAUGAAAUAAGUUUCACAUAUGGAAGAAAGAUAUAGGCACGUGUCAUGUAAUUCGAUGUAAAAUUAAGUCGUACUUUUAGGUUGGAAAAUGACAUAUUCAUUACGUGGAAAGGCAUCUAAGGGCUGAACCUAUUUACCAUGAAACCAAGUGGAGCACAUGUUUCUGCCACCAGCGGAAGCAUAAAAGUGGGCAAAUAAAUGCGUAAUUUGACAUAAACUUGCGCUUACAAGUUGUAGCUGAAAUAUAUGAAGUAAUUUAUUACUUGGAAAGCGUUGCACAUUGAGUGUAACUGCAUGGCGACACAUGCGGAGCAACUUCACUGACACACAUGCAGAUUCAAUGACUACAUGACCUGUGAUACUUCUACAGUGUUGCCUACUAUGUAUGAAAUGGAGCAAAGUCAUCAUUCGGAAUGCCCUUGCGCCCGUGUUUCUGCGAAACUGAUUAAGGUCCCCACAAGAGUAAUCAUGCUUGCAUGAAUGCAGCGGAAACAUUGCAUCAACUUUUAAGGGUGUGACAUCUCAUGUAGGCAUCAAUUGGCCAAAAAGGUCUAUCGAUAGGCACAGAGUUGCCAACAAGGGUGGUUUGAGAUAGAAGCCCUGCAUUUGAGCAGUGCAUGUAAACAAAUGUUUAGGAUCGGGAAACAUGAGAACAGAUUGACUAUGGGAUGGCAACCGCCUGCAUUUGCUGCAGAAUAUGGAAACAAAACUUCAUGACUGAUAGAGCAGGUUGUUGACUAUUUCCUGUCAUGACUGAUAGAGCAGGCUAUUGACGAUUUCCUGUUAUGGCUGAUGGAGCAGGCUGUAGACAAUUUCCUGUAACCAACAGGGUUCCAACAAGUGUGGUCCCAACAGCGGUGGUUUGAGAACAGAUUCACUGUUAUUCACAUGAGAACAGAUUCACUAUGUGAUAGCAAUCGGCUGUGGACGACUUCCUGUCACCAGUGAGGGAGUGUUGAUGCGAGUUUCCAGUACAUGCUAGAAAGCAGUUGUAUCUUUAACAAUGCAUGACAUCUAUGUUGGAAAGUUACUUUUAUUUGCGGCUUGAGCGGGACCAGGAUGCAAUUUAUGAAGAGGCUGAAGCAACAGCACCCGGCUACUUUAUCGACCUCGUAGUGAUUUAGAGACACUGUAACAAAUACUUGGUUAAGGUACAGUAUGGUAUCUAUGAAAUAAACAACGCUAAAAGAAUGGGCAUAGCCACUGUAAAGAACGUAGCUGACGUGCGUGUGCUUUUGGUGCGUUUCACAACCCACGACCAUUUGUGUGGGAUGUGUGAUCAGGAAAAUGAGGCCUGUACAAUGUAAGGAUUCCUUCUGCUAGAUUCUAUUCCUUUAUCAUACAUUGCUCUCACAUGGCCUAUAGGGCUUAAAGUGAAUGGGGAGCCACUUUCGAGGUUCGAAAAGGAAAAUACCAUUUUGCCACUUUCCGAGCGCAUAUGCAAGUGUCCCUGCCAGACAGUAGUAGUCCUCGCAGCUGUGCUGCUGAAAUUUUAGUGAAAAGCAAUAUUGAGGGAAAUGCCGAAGAGAAUGGCAUCUGUACAUUUCUUCAGUGAAUUUAAGGACCAUCAGGUCUGUUCACCCUUUCAAACCCACUCCCAUUGUAAAAUAUUUUUAUUUUGACCUCCCUGCCUUUCCAUCUCAUGGUUUCGUCACGGUACAAACAUUACGCACUUUUUUUUUCCGUAGUUGCCCUCCAGCCCACAAAGUACUAUUAGCUAUGGACUUCUACCAGCAUGCUUUGCAUCAGCGAUGCCAUGGUGAAACUUGUGGUGAAAUCAGUCAAUUGGAAUACCAUCAUUACAUUAUCUCCUCCUUAGGUUUGCUGAAAGUGAUAACUUUCAUGCGUGUCACUAAGUGGCAGUAGCUUGAUGGAUUGCAAGAUGCACGUUCAUGUGAACAGCGACACCGGUGAAAAAGCGAUACAGCAGGAGCAGGUCACUAUGAUACACUUCUACCGUAUUCGUGUACAGCAUAUAUUAAACAUUCUUUGGAAGUGACAUCAAAAGGUUGGGCGUUUCGUGCAUGUGUUCUGAGGUGACAGGUCUUUCUGUAUUAUUUAUUUAUUUAUUUAGAAAACACCUUACAGGCCCUGUCGGGCAUUGAGUAAGGGGGGGCAAUGUAACAAUGAGCUGUUGAGUACAAUGGAAACAACUCAAAAAAUCUACAACUGUCCAGUGGCUGAACUAAAACACAAAACAAAGCACAGAAUGCCCAAGCAUAACAGCAAAUAGGGAGAUUAAGCAAAAAGCGCGCACAGAUGUUCACGGAAUAUUUUACGAUUGGUUAUCGAGACAAUUUCAUCGGGAAGACCAUUCCAGUGAGAUAUGGCACUAGGUACAGCAGAUAAAUUGAAAGCAGCAGUUUUACCAAAAAUGCGCUUGAAGCUAAGAUGAUUAUUGCAUCAAACAAAUUUUCUCUACAGUCAUUGCAAUUAGCAGAAUUAUUUUUGUAGUAGGAUUAGAGCUGCCACUGGAAGAGGCAAUUACUAAACGAAGGGCAGAUAUUGAACCAGAGUUUCAGCCUUAGUUUCAUGAGCAGGAAAUUCUCAGGAUUCAGGUGCUCGUUUUGCACAUGACCGAAACUUAGGCGUAGGCCUACAUGUUUCUUUUGACAGCAUUUCACACACUAGAAGCCAUGGCAUGACAUUUCUUGCUCCCUUGGCAGCAUUAUGUAGAGCUAUGAGGCUAGUUUGAUUCACUCAUUGCAUGUGCCGCAGUAGUAUGUGGGGCACUGUACCACAACCUUGAUUAUUCGUGCAGUAGUGCACUCCCUGCUUGUUUUUUUAAUUGUGGCAUGGGUCAGGCAUGGAUGUCAUUGCGCGGGGAUUUCUGAGGUGGUGCAGCCAGUUUGCAGAGUUGCAGCUGACGUUUGCCGAGGUCACAGCGAAUGCUGCCACAAUGUUUCCAAAGGUCAGGCGAAAGCUUUCUGAAACCUUGUAGCAACGUUUCCCACAUAGCCAGAAUUGUCCGUGGCACUUGUUGGGCACUGCGAACUGUUGCGCUUUGAAGGGCUCAUUGAUUUAUACAUGAUGUCGGAUUGAGCAAGCAUAAUUUCAUGGGUGCAGCACCAUGCUAAACUUUAAAGGAUGGACGGAAAGCACAACGUAGUUGUGUAAGCUGAACCCGCAAUGAAGGUCUCGCACAUUUCCGAUCGCUGCACGAUUAGGUCAAGCAGGUGACAUGGCCUGCCUUUCAGUGUUCAAUUUAGAGCAGGCACUUGAAACAAGCUGUACUGGCACCCUCAGAGAUGCACCACCACCGUUUGGACUUUUCAGGAACGGGGCUGGAAAUCGCAUGUGAAUCAAGCAUGUUCGUAUGUACGAGGGGUACGGGUUUUUAAUGAGUACCAACACAUAUUUUCGAAGUUGUACAAGCUAUACGACGCGUGUAAAAGGAAGGCUCUUCUUUGCAGCUGUGGAGAUUGGGGGAAACCUACAAGGAUUUUAAUUUGAUGCUAAAGUUGGUCUCAAAUUGUCAGAACUGACUUCAUCGACAUUAUCGUGAUGUUAUGACGCAGAGCGAGAUUUGAUGGACGUGUAGAAUUAUGGCUAGAUGUGACGAUGUUUGUCAUAAAAGAAAUAAACUAGUGCUGUGCAUCUUUAUUCUGGCUUGUGCGGCAGGGGUAGGACUCGCAGUACCAAAGAGAUCAGUGUCAUGAUGCAUUGGCCUUAAUGGGUAGCAAAACUGAAACUGGUUUGUAAAAACAAGUCUUAUAGCAAAAAUAAGUGUGUUACACAUGCCAGUAUUUUUUGUAGGGUUUAGAGGGCUUGGGCAUUCAUUUAAUGCGAAAGAAAAGCCGAAAAUGUCAUUUUAGCGGUCCUGCGACGCUCCGGAACUCUAGUAAUGAUUUUUGAAUUUCACAUAAUCACUUACUGUUCUUAAUUAAGAAGGCACAGCAUCAUGCCAUUCUUGAAAAGUUUUAUGCAAAAUUGUUAGAGUCUGCAUCUCCAUCUCUGCAAGGUGUAUAAGUAGAUCUACACUUCGAUUAGCACUUGCGAUGUACUGUGCCGAUAGUUUCUCGCGCCACCUCCGUAAAGCAUGCGUGGCUGCUGCGAUAGCCGACUGACAAGGCUAACACCCGUUAUUACAAAGCACUGCAUAUCUGUUUACUGUUGUACCAAGCAAAUGUAUUUCUUCACGGUAUAGGUAGCCAAGGAUUAGUUUUAAACCACUGGUCUCUGCUGUAAUGUUCAUGUAUUGUCUUCACAAAACAUUUCCUUGGACAGCGAUCCCGUGUUUAGCUGAAAUGGAUAAGCAAAAACACCCGUGUACUUAGAUUUAGGUGCACAUUAAAGAACCCCAGCUGGUCCAAAUUUCCGGAGUCCCCCACUACGGUGUGCCUCAUAAUCAGAUCGUGGUUUUGUCACAUAAAACCCCAUUAUUUAAUUUUUUUUAAAUAAUCGGCAAUUAAAAAGUAGUGGAGCUACUGAAUGUUCCUCUUUUGUGGGAUUGAAGUAGACCUCUACGUGUAACAUUUUAUUGAGGGCAAAGGAGGAUUCUCUAAUGCUAGGCAUUUUGGUCACCCCUUCAGAAUAAUAUAUUUUCUUAGUUUUGAGACCUGUCAAAUCGUUUGAGCUUGUAGUUUCUGCAUCAUUGGUAAUUAAUUUUGCUGUCUUGGAACAAUCUUUGUGGUGUCAGAAGAGUUGGAGGGUUGAAGAGGUGAUAAAUGAGGAUAAUUGUUUGCCAUAAACUGAAUAUUGAAUGACAGAUUAGGUGCAAGAAACUUAAGAGUACUCGCCCAAAAUUUUUGUCCUUCCCUCCUCCGCCCCCCCCCCCCCUUUUUUUUAUAGCUGCCGUACCUGUAAAUAUAUUAUGCCUGAAUUUGAAACAAAUUGUGACCAAAUAAAGAAACAAAAUAAAAAUAUGCCAGUUGGAUUGCAGCUUAGGCGUGUUGAGCAGGUCUCACCUACACAUCACGGAUACUAUUGGAGGUGGUGGCUACAUGGUAUCACAUGGCACUGGCACUGUGAUUGUCUCACGCACUCGAUAGAGGAUAAUAGGUUAGAUAAGGUGAAAAGGGGUGCACUGCUUUCGAGAGAUGUGACAGCAAGACUAGUCUUCUUGGCUGGACUUGUGUAAUGGUUCGAUUCCAAUAUUAUUUUUUGUUCUUUGCCAGCGGUUUGAGUGGAACACCAUUCACAUCGCCGGGAUCAGCUGACCGCGAAUGGUCGAUUUUUAAAUAAUAUGAUUGGGUGGUACGAGUCCUUGCAUUGUACUGGCCCUUGUGUCGAGUAUGGAGAAGUCGGAAUGCACCUGGAAAGAGUAGUUGGUCCAGCUUUGGCAACGUGGUCGUGAUGUAGCUUGCGACCGCGGCACCAGGCUGACUGACGCACGUCAGCAGUUUGGACUGGUUGCAUUGAAAUAUGCAAUUAUUUGGUGUGUAUUCGAGCAGCUGAGGCCCCAGGCCAUGGUUGAGAAAUUCGCAGCUUUGUGUGAAAAAGACAACAAAAUUUCUGCCUGCACCCCCUUGAAGGGAUACACUGGUACGUCAGUGUCACGUCAUGGAUGUCGAGAGUAUUUUUCCGUAUUGGAGCAAUGUUGGCUGAGUGAAUGUUCUCGAACCUCAUCAUGUUCAGUCUUUGACUCCUUUGCAACACAAUGUAGUCCACCUUAAACAAUAAGGAGUUACCUAGGCACUAACAGACACAGUUGGAAUCCAGGAAAGUACUUGAAGCUGGUGCAGGAAUUUCAAAGGCGGGGUCCGUCCUUCCAUCUUGCGCUCUUUCUGGCUUAUCAAGCAUCUUCUCAUGGCUAGAGUAGUGUUUCUGCUAUUGUAGAAAGCUAAUUUAUAAUACAAGUGAAAUGAUUUUUCUGUAUUGUGUUCAUUUAAAUUAAACCCAGAACAAUGUUCGAAGCCAGAAGACUGAAAAGUUUAGACAAAUCGAGUUUAGACAUUUUGUGUAAAUUUUUGCAUUGCAUGCAAAAUUUUUGCGCUGUUCAUAUGUGAGGUGAGCUGGAAAUAUUCCAGAUGCUCACAUAAUUUGCAGAGGAGUAUGUAUGCCUUGCAUCACGUGGCCGAGGUCGGAGACCGCUGCGCAAUUUCAAGGCUAUGAGACAGCAGAUAACCAUCUAUGGGGCGGUCGUCCCAUCUGUGCAAUUUUACUUGUAAUUUUCCACUAGCCUGCCUGCAUUUGCACUUGUUUGCUCGGCUUGUUUGGUAUGUCAUCACAUUUCUGGCAGUAAAGUGAGGAAUUCGAGUUUAUUGCAUUUUGUUGUCGCUAAAAAGGGGGGGGGGGGGGAGUCGGUCCUAAGUUUGCAGUAUUGCUUUGAGUUCCCCUUUGAGACAUGCAUUGCAUAGCAUGUUUAUUAGUUGGUUAUGCAAUCAUUGGAAUCUGAAUAUCUGAUUUCAGUCCCAGAAAACUACAGACACCCGUGAUGGUUGUUUGGUGCAUUUAAAUGCUUCCAUAUUCAAAGAAACCAUAUGUUCCAAAACUUCCAUAUGCAAUAAACCAAUGACAUAUGGGAACAUGCAUAUUUUAUGUAGGAUGCUAUGCGUUUCACAUAGGAUUUUUAGCUAUGGGAUUUUUCAGUGCAGUUGGGCUGUGACUGUUGUCAGAAGCAUUGGUAGCUAACUGCCUAUGAGGAAUCUAUGAGGAAUUUAUUUGCUCAGGAUACCUUUGGAUGUCAUCACUGCAAGUUGGAGAGCCCUUUAUAUAUGCCGUUUGUUGCGUUAAACACAACAGUGGUUCCUUUAAUGAUAUAUGAGCCUGUAGGCGUAAUGGGCCAUUAUUGUCUUUAUAACGCCCCGUGCUUGAUUGGGUCCAAAGGUUCUCAUCCACUUGCGAAUACUUUAGUUUUUCGGUCACCUGAAAGCAAAUAGGGUCUCAUUUGCUCCCGAAGCUUCGUUUAUUUAUUUUACCCUCAAGCGCACAGAGCUUUACUGAGGGGAGUGGGGUACAUAAAUAAUAAACAUAAUAUCAAAUGUAAUAACAUCUACAAUACACAGGAGCAGGCAAUGUUAGGCUAUACAACGAAAAGUUUGAAGGUACGAUGCGAAGAACCGUGUACAAAAAGGAGGGGGGGGGGGGAGCAGCACUUAAUGUGUCAUCAAAUUGUGUAUGGUGGCACAAAAUAGGCCAGUGUGCCAGUGUCCGAAAUGGAAACAGUAUUGGGGAGUAGGUGGUUCCACUCAUUUGACGUGCGUGGGAAGAAAGAAUAAAAAAAAGUGCUAGGUGCGGCAAUCAGUAACGUGUGCCUUGUGGUGAUGUGAUCUAAGCAUACCGAACGAUAAGAUGGGGUCGUAACGAACUGGGUUUUUCAAAACUGAAUGAUGGUAUAUCUUACGGAAAAGCUUAAGACGACAUGCUUUGCGACGUGAAACAAGUGACUGUAAGGAAAGGGUGCGUUUCAUCGACGUGAUACUGCUAGUGCGAUUGAAAGGCGUUCCAAAUGGAGCGUGUGUGUUCAAGUUCUGAGCGCACUAGUGUUUUAUAAUUUGUUAGUUUCACACUUACAGGAGCUCUACUAAAGUUAAGUAGUAGGUACGCUAGCAUACGGUUACCAUUGUUAACGUAGGUAAUGUGAUGUUUCCAGCUUAGAUCAGAUGCUAUAUGAAUUCCCAAGUAUUUCUAAGAAUCAAGAUUGUUAUGAAGAUUUGUUAUCGAGAUUCCCAUUUUUAUGAGGUUUCAGACGGAUAACAUAUGGAGUCUGUCCUUGCACAAGUUAUAAUCAACGUGUCAUUAAUAUUUGUUAGUUUUUUAGCUGAGGGAAAGUUCAAUCCGCCAGUUGCGUCUAAAGCGAGGUUUUGAUGAACACUCUCUUCUCCGCCACAAUUCUAUACUUAUUGAGCGUUAUACGCCAAGCUAGAAGCGCGGGUGAAACUUGUAGCAGUGAAAGAGCAGCACCAGGAGAUACGUGGAAGUUUGUCUCGCAACGUGCGAAGUACUUCUUUUUUCUUCUCUAUGCACAGAUCGUGACAGAAUUUGAACUCGCGAUCUAUACUGCUAAUUGGGCGAUGUGCGUAAUCACGUAAGCUAACCCUAAUUGCCCACUGAUGGCCGAUCUCCCGCUAGUAUACAGCGCUCUCGAGUCUAAGGGGCGCGCGUUUUGAAAGCGUGGGAGGAUGAGAGGAACGCGGGAGUGUGACUUAAGUGAUGGCACCAGUCGUCCACGAUUCCAUCCCGCCGCCGCCAUCUUGGUCAGACGACAUGUGCAGAGAAGCUCGCUUGCGGAUUUUGCGUGGCUUCUGCAUAAAAUACGUUUAUGACGAUGAUUUAUUGGCAUCCCCUUUGAAGCGGGGCGCGGUUACAACGAAUCAUCACCUAGCCUGCCUAAGUUACUCGGAUGUACUAUAAUACAUGUUUGUUUGUUUGUUUUUUUUUUUUUUUCGUUCUACGCCGUGCACAGGCUUCGUUGUACACUUCAGCAAGCGCCACUGCUGCCGUUUCACAACGAAGCCCGCACAAAACUGCGCGCGCGCUGUCGCCUCGUGACGACGCUGAUUGGUUGAUGCGCAGUGGCACGUGGUCAUUGCGUCAGACACGCUGCGGUUCGUUGCGCUCGUCCCAGUAUACAUUGCUGCUGCCGCGUCGCGGUGUGUGACGUGGCACACCGGCAGAGUCGUGCACGCCGGAUGUAGAGAUAAAAACGUGAAGAGGCGCGAGAUAACGACCGCGCAUGACGCGAACUUUCGACGGAUGAUCGAGAAUUAUGAUCGACUGUCGAUAAAUGUAUGAAAUUCACGUAAUUUUAUGCCCAGGUGCCUGCAGGCUCCGUUAAGGGCAAGUCAAGAUGGUAGAAUGACUUUGUGCACUUUAUGAUGAGUCACCGUAAUUACAGAGUGAUUAAGUAUCCUAAUUAGAGGAACGGCAAAAAUAAGUGACGUACACAAAUGUGUACAGCGUGACUGAAGGGGAUUUGUAAUGGCGACAAUGAUUGGAUGAAACGGCGCACACCAGGGCGCCGUAAUUCCACUUGAGACAAGCUUCCGGACGUGGGUUCGGUAAAAAAAAAGGGGGGGGGAUACUGUACCGUGUAGUUCACCAUACUAGCCCCGUGUCGGGUAUAACGUCGGUCCUUGAAACACGUACGCGCUCUGUGCAUCCGUUCUUUUUCGCCCGUGGCCUCUCAACAGCAUUUCGUUAUCGCUCUAAUCCGUUUACCCUGCUCCUAAUGGAGAAUUAAUCUCCCCGCCUAUUUUAUCUUUAGUGCAAAGCGGGUUUGCCCAGAUAUCUACGCGGACACAACACGCUUAUUACCUUAGUUUUCCUUCAGCCCGCUAAGUACUAUUAGCGACGAGCUUUGCGGCAGCCUAGUGGGUAACUCGUAGUGAAAACCGGAUGUGUUGACACCGUAGGUUAUUCUUCCUCGUCGGUGGUCGCGCUACCCUUAUUUCGCCGGCUACGGAUUCGUAACCAUCCAACUGGCCCCAAAAUGUCAACCUUGCAAGAGCGGCAAUUUCUUGCCGCGCAGCUGGUGUUGGUGGCCUGCACGAGACUCUCGCUCUGUGUUACAUACAGCCCGUGCAGCGCGCCUCGCACUUGUUCUGAUGAAUCGCGUUUUCUUUUUUUUUUUUCUCCCUCCUACCUCCUUCCCUCCUCCUCGUGAGCCUCGAAUAGAUCGCAGCUGCAGCGUUAUGUAUCCCCCCCUCCUUCUCAUCGCGCACGCUCUCUCUCUCUCGGAUCAAGUGCGCUCCAAAGUCUGCAUAUGUCGGGUUUGUACAGCUAGGCGGUGUUGGUUUUGUAGUUUUGUACCGUGCACGUGCUUUGGAGAGGGUUGCUGGAUGACGGCCACGAAUGCGGGCUCUGCACACGGGAACGCGACCGUGUGCCGUUGUUGCGCUGGCUAUCUGUUGUUUCCGGCAUCGCCGCUACCGUGAGGUUCCGCGUCGCCAGGCGUCAACCUUGGUCCUCCCCCGCACCCCCCACCCUUUCCCCCCCUCCUCCUUCUAUGCUGGUAGCAGCCACUACACCCGGGGACAACUUUCUGCGGAGCGGCGAAGCCGAAGCACGCAUCAUUUUUUUUUUUCUCUUUUACUGCGCAUCUCCAUGUAGGCAACUGGAAGCUACGUAGCGUUAAACAACCCGUACCAAUAAUUUAAAAUUUUGCGUUCAACGUGUCUGUUCUUUUGUUUUCUAUGCGCAGAGUUUCCUACAAAAAUUUAACUAAAGGGAGCUCUGGGGCUGCUACGACAAAGAGGAGGGUGGGGGAGAAAUUGAUAGGGCAGGGUCCGUUCAGGCAUAGGUUCACAUGGAGGUUUUAAGGAACAGGGAAGAGAUUAAGGAGACUUGUAGAAUGCUAGACUGAUAAGUAUGUAUAUGUUACUUGAUUAGCUCCAGCAAGCAAUUGGUUACUGCUUCGAAGUAGUGAAUCAUCGUUCAGCCACACCAUAGCAACAACUAGCACGUGCGUGCUAUCUAAUAUUCCGAAAAAAUCAUUCUUCUGUACGCCCCCCCCCCCUCCUCUCCCAAGCCCUUAUGCGCGCUGCAUAAUGUAUCGUCGCGAAUUGUUGUAUUAACGAUGCAAUAUUUUUGGCCGAACGUGACCAAUUUACAAAGAUACAAAUCCGUUUGAAGCCAGAAUGACGAAGUGCAAGCCAAAUGCCAGUGACGCAUGUGGAACUGCCGUGGUUGCAGCUCAUGUGGACACUGCUCGCGACGGCUGCAUUUCGAUAGAAGCGACAUGAUGUAUAUAUAUAUAUAUAUAUAUAUAUAUAUAUAUAUAUAUAUAUAUAUAAACGCAAAACUAAAAAAGAAAGCUGGUGUACUCAGAUUUAGGUGCACGUUAAUGUGAACUCCAGGUGGUCGAAAUUAAUUCGGAGCCCUCAACUGUGGCGUGCCUCAUAAUCGGAUCGUGAUUUUCGCACGUAGCACCCGAGUUUAAAUUGCCUUUUCUACCAUUGGUACGAAAGGGCGUUGUAUUUUACUGCGGCUCUUGCUCUUGGGUUUCGCCAGGGACGCGCAGCUUCUAGGACGGCUCUGAAUACUCCGCCCUCUCCCCUUCCUAUUCCACGUAAUAGGCCUUCGAACCAUCCCCCUCAUCCCUUUUCCUCCGAGGAGAGCUUGGCCCAAAACACACGCAUGUCACUGUCAGGGAAAGAGGGAAGCACAGUGCCGACCCCCCCUCCGUCUCCGACGUGGCAGUUUGGGCUGAGGUCAGGUGAAGAACCGGACCUGUUGGUGACUAACUGUUUGUCAUUAUUCAUCACGCAGUUGGAGGUGGCCCUGACGAGGACGUCGGCUCGUUAACCAUUGCCGAGUUCUCCGUGAGAGACUGGGUUUCGAGGAGUAAACGGCCGAUCACAGAACCCUUCAGUAUGCGUGCAAGCACUGUAUAGUUUGAUGAAAGCCGUUACCGUUGGUUGAUCUCCCGAUGAGCGCGCGAGAGACUGAAAUAUACUCGGUGAACGAAUAACAGCGCGUACUGGCGUGGACGAGCCGUCCACGCUGACUUGCUGCUUUUGGGAAGCGUAGGAAAUAUAUAAGCAUACACGUGACACACGAAAAUAAAGAAACGGAUACGCCAGUCACGUGCCCGCGUCGGUCGCGUAAUCGGAACUGUCGUUUCCUCCAAACAUAAACACACCAAGAAACAAUUUCUCUUUUUUCGGUCAGCGUCAGCGACGCUAUGCUUGCACGUGCUCCAUCCAGCUUAUCUAUAUUUGUUCACUAUGAAUCGGAACCAACUAGCCUUGACUGACUGAAAUACGGCCGUCGAGUCCGUGUAAAUACUAGCGUGUCGGAUCGAGUCAAUUCGACGAACUGCGACGGAUGGCUUGGGGCUCGCUCCGCGACCGGCUUCGAGAAUGGCGUGCGUCAGCAUGCACAGGCCGGUCUUCAACGAACCUAUCUGACGGGGAAGGGUGGUGGGUAGAAAAGGGUGUGAUAUCUUUUCUAAAGAAACCCCCUUCGAAUCGACUUGCCGUCCCAUCUCCCCACCCCCACGCACGUUUCAUCUCUCCCCCCAUUCUCAACCCCGUCCUCCCUCUACCUUUGUUCAUCGGUUCGGAGAUAGGAACGGGAGAGGAGACCAUGUCACAAUUUUCUCCUUGGUGCAUGAUUCGGUGUCUUUUGUGCGCUUCACUGCAGAGAUCUUUCCUCGGAAUGCCGUGUCUCUCCGUCACGCGUUGUCCGCGCUGAUUGGACAGCCACCAGAAGCGCCACCUAUUUUUGAUAGCACAGGGCUUGUUUGGCAGAAAAAAAAAAAAAAGAAAUUGGGAAAGCCCGAGUCGCUGUUGGGCCAGUCAAGCAGUCGCUCGCUGUCCGUUGGAGAGGACCACGUGCAGUUGAGUCUUGUUAGCAGCGCGUGCGACUGCUUCUGUACUGACAGCUCCGAACGCCGACGCACCGUUCGAGAGAGCGAGAACGUGGUGUUUGUACUAGCUCGAAAUGGCGCGCAAGAAUCGAAGGACCAGGCAGCAAGAGAACUCGGCGCCUUCGUCGUCAUCGGCUUCGCCCGUAGAAACCGCCGAGGCAUCCAAAAGUAAGGACCGACUGUUGGACUUUUUUUUUUUUUUGUUUCUUAAGCAUAUUUUUUUUUCUCCUCUAGCAUUAUUCAUUUCCUGUAGUUAGUGUGUGCUGCGACGCGCCGUGAUUCUCCUUCUAACCGCUCGCACGUGGCUUUUCGCACAAUGGCAGGAUGGACGCCGCCAUUUUGCGUCGUAUUCACCGGACUGUGUCAGGCACGUCCGCGUGGCACUAGCAAACGACGGGCCGGCUAGUGCACUAGCCGGCCCGUCGACGAAUUAGUUCAAAACUUUACACGGUGGUUUCUGUGUCUCGCGUCAUUGUUCCCACAGGAUGACUCUGCACCAGGAGAUAGAGAUUACGCUUUUGUUGCGAUUUUUAGUCUGCCGGGCGUCAGCAUCGCAGUUGACGUGCACGUAAUGAGUAACUGGAAUAAGUUCACAGACGGGGCACUCAGUCAUCACUGCAUUCGUCUUGAUCCCUUCGUUGAGUGAAUGGCCGACGAGCGUUUAGCUGUGCCCCGACAGUUCUUGGGCUUUUGCUUGAAGCGUGGGCUUCGCCGUUCUGUGCGCAAUACCAUUUCGUGUCUGCUUUCGGCGUCAUAUUGCCCUGUCAUGUCUGUAUGGCCCGUAUUUCUUCUGGCUCUACGCUGUACGUCAGUUGUCCGCUUGACAAAUUUUGCGUGGUGUUUGUUCUUUAGAAAUGGCGGGAACGUACCGCACCGUACCGAAGAGUGGCAAUGCUGUUAAUUCACUCGUUUCGUGACUUCGUCGGAUCUGCCUCCUCCUCUCUACCAUUCAUUUCUGUCUCCCCGCUGGACUGUUGCACGUUAGUAAAGCGCUGCAGUUUCUGCAGUGCUUUUGCGAGGGGGGGGGGGUCACGGAUAAUUACAGCUGUCAAGAUGGUACUGUGCCGACGCACAGGGAGCUCCAGAGGGCAUUGUGACGACCAUCGAAGGGUAGCUCCAAACGAGUUUCUCGCUUCGCCUUUCGUCUCUGUGCCACGCUGCUUCCACGUAUAUGCGCGCUCUGAACCACCUCCCGACGCGGCGUGCAAGACAGCAGCAGUGGCCAAGUCGAAGAAAGAGGCAAAGCUGGCUUCGCUUAAAAGUUGAUGGCGCUCAUGUUCUGCACACUGUUGACAAUGUUAAGGUCGCAUUCUAGAGCGGAUGGCCCACUUACCAGGCACAAUCAAAAAGCGAGAUGUAGGGUUGAUGGUCGCACAGCCCGACUAGUGACUCAUAUUGAUACCAAGUGGUUGGCCUAUCAGUAUGCCGUCACCUUACCAGUAUGCCGUGACCCCCAGCACCCCCUUAUUUCUAGUGUUAGACGUGACGAGCGAUAACUGCCUUUGCCCCCCCCCCCCCCCCGCUUUUUUUUUUUCUCUUCCCUUUCUUUCUUUGCUAGACAUCCAGUACAGGAAUGCGACAUGAGCUCUCUUGCCACCGGCGGGCAAACCUAGCACUCUUCAUUCUUCGCGUUGCGUCACAUUUAGAAAUUGGCGAUUUGUAAAAAUCCUGCAGCUGACUGUCCUGCAAAAGGUCUCGCCGUCUUUGAAGCCACUUGCUGCGAAAUGGCGCCCGACCCUCUCCCGUGGGUGGGUUGGAUGACAGGCAGUAGGGGUAGCGGAAUGCUUUUCGAACGGCAAGUUGAGGUAGGGUUUGCGCUGAGGCAGCAACCAGUUCAGGAUUCCGAAAAUAAUAAAGCGCUACCCGACUGCGACGUGGUGCCUUUUGUACUUGCGUAUUCCGCCUAAAAUGUAUGGUGUGGACAGGAGUUCUUGGUUGGCACCAAGUUAUCGAGGGAGGCAGCAAGUUCUUUACCCGCCGUCGACUGGGUUCCCCGUGAACUACAGAAUGGGCGCGUUUUAGGAGCGCGCGACUAUUCGAAUAUUGAAUUUAGUAUAGUCCUGUUCGGGGAUUUGAUCUACGAAUCGAAUUGUCAAUAUUCGUAAAUACGGAUAUUUCUUCGUGUAGUACUGUACAUUCUUCUGCUUCAGGGUUUCCGGUUUGUGGGAACGUUUGCUUCAGAAAAUCCGGUGUAACGUUUUCCAGUCGUGCGAUUACCCUUCGCCAAUCGUGUAAGAUUUGCUGGGGAGGGGCUGUUUGUGUUCGAAACAGUGGCGCGGGUGUCGUACAUUUGCAUUAAUCUCCUGGUUGGGCGUCUGCUUGUCUCAACAUGGCGAUUGCCAUUGGAAAAUCCCGACAUUUCCUGUGUCGCGUAGCAAAGAAAGAAAGAAAAGCGGUUCUCCUUCAGGCGGCGCGUGUCCAGUUGAGCGUUAUUACAGUUGAACCCAGGUAUAUCCGGGUUUCCGCAUAUAACGAAUUAUUGUGUAUAACGAACAUGAGUACAAUCUUUGUAUAAAAUUAUUUUAUAUGUAGAACUUAAUUUUUUUUGUGAUCCCCUUCAGAUUCGAUAUGUCCGGGUCCGACUGUAUGUUAUUCUGGAGCUUUCUUUUACCGACUGUAUUCCAGCGUCGCUGCCAGCCUAACUCGUUUUGCUCCCGAGGUGUAAUGGAAGCCCGAUCAAGAGAAGCGCGGCGCAGCCGCCUUUUCCAUUUCUCUUCUUUCUCUUUGCUUCCUUCUCGAGUCUGCGGGAGCCAUUGGCGCGACCACAGUCGUUGGCAGCGGGGGAAAAAUUGCCAAGUUUUCCUCGUUCCUUGCAGCAAGCCGACGCGCUUGCGUCACGCGUUAAAUCGACGCCCAAUUCCUCGUGGAGUCGGUUCCCGCCUUCGGUGGACCAAGUGUCGCCUCGAGAUGCUUUGGAAGAACGGAGGCGGCUCGUAUGCACGGGCGACUCAUUUUCCGCAUGCGCCCAGAUUUUAACUACCGCCAUUGGUCGACCACUUUUGUGAUGUUUUCAAUACUUUAAGAGGUUGAAGGAGAAACGUUAAAUCCGUUGUGAUUAAGUAAACUCCUAAGGCCAAUUUCGCUCUAAUUUGCCUACGCGCAUAAUUUUUUUUAAACGAGUCUGAACCCUGGAAUUAACGCCGGCAAACUUCAUAGCGCCUUACAGUGCACGGUUGAACGCCUCCGUGCUCAUUGGCUACACCGGUCACACCGUUUUAAAGCUGGCGGAGAGACAGCUCACAACAGAACUGGGGCAUAAUUAUUCCUUCGUAAUACAAGCCAUUUGCAAAAAAAAAAAAGAGAAAAAAAAACUAUCGUACAGUUAGAUUGGGUUGCACGUUAAACGUCGUGUGUCUAUUUCACUGCAGUCUGGACACAUUGUUGCAAUGGAGCUAUAUAGUUCCGGUUUCCUCAAUCGAUAACCGCUUCCAAGAAGCGCACGCGUUUUCCUGCGGAAAGCUGCCCAACUGGUUCUGUAAUUCGCGGGGAAACUUGCUCGUUUUACACAUAAGGCGGCUGUUAGGGGAGCCUGUAAGGGUUAUAAUUCUGCCUGAAUGGUGUAGUUAAGUUUCCUGUUUAAACGUGUGUUCACGCCACUGGUGCACCUGGGGAACUUCGAGCGCGACAGACGGGGACCGUUUUAAAUGACGUAGGGUGCCCCGCCACCUGUUGAAUGCGCCCGAUACGCGCAUUCACAUUUUUUAUAUUUUUUUUUGUGCGCUUAUUCCUUUUCUCUUGUUUCGUUAGUUUUAUUAAACGUGUAUGGCGGCGGGCAGCCGGUUCUCUGGCGCAUCGCGAACUUAGUACCGCCCUGGAGCGUGUUUCUUAAAAAAAAAAAACACACACCAAUUGAGAAAACA